UUGAACGCUGGCGGAAUGCUUUACACAUGCAAGUCGAGCGGCAGCGCGGGGCAACCUGGCGGCGAGCGGCGAACGGGUGAGUAACAUAUCGGAACGUACCCUAUCGUGGGGGAUAACACAUCGAAAGAUGUGCUAAUACCGCAUACGACCUGAGGGUGAAAGCGGGGGAUCGCAAGACCUCGCGCGACAGGAGCGGCCGAUAUCGGAUUAGCUAGUUGGUGAGGUAAAGGCUCACCAAGCCGACGAUCUGUAGCUGGUCUGAGAGGACGACCAGCCACACUGGGACUGAGACACGGCCCAGACUCCUACGGGAGGCAGCAGUGGGGAAUUUUGGACAAUGGGGGAAACCCUGAUCCAGCCAUGCCGCGUGCAGGAUGAAGGCCUUCGGGUUGUAAAGCUCUUUCAGACGGAAAGAAAUCGGGCGCGUGAAUAGCGUGCCUGGAUGACGGUACUGUCAGAAGAAGCACCGGCUAACUACGU
This 480-nucleotide ribosomal RNA is filed under the name uncultured bacterium. Its description in RNAcentral is "partial 16S ribosomal RNA". It matches the Rfam family "Bacterial small subunit ribosomal RNA", at positions 29 to 506 of the family's 1533-position model. The record is from RNAcentral.